Molecule: ribosomal RNA, 688 nt
Filed under: uncultured Bacteroidota bacterium
Lineage: Bacteria; Pseudomonadati; Bacteroidota
Description: bacterial SSU rRNA
Rfam family: Bacterial small subunit ribosomal RNA
Source: RNAcentral
UGAGUUUGAUUAUGGCUCAGGAUGAACGCUAGCGGCAGGCCUAAUACAUGCAAGUCGAGGGGUAACAGGAAGUGCUUGCACUUCGCUGACGACCGGCGCACGGGUGAGUAUCGCGUAUACAAUCUGCCUCAUACUAGGGAAUAGCCCGAAGAAAUUUGGAUUAAUGCCCUAUAGUAUCUUUUUAAGGCAUCUUAUUAAGAUUAAAGGUUACGGUAUGAGAUGAGUAUGCGUUCUAUUAGCUAGUAGGUGUGGUAACGGCACACCUAGGCUACGAUAGAUAGGGGCCCUGAGAGGGGGAUCCCCCACACUGGUACUGAGACACGGACCAGACUCCUACGGGAGGCAGCAGUAAGGAAUAUUGGUCAAUGGACGAAAGUCUGAACCAGCCAUGCCGCGUGCAGGAUGACUGCCCUAUGGGUUGUAAACUGCUUUUAUAUAGGAAGAAAAACUUUCUCGUGAGAAAGCUUGACGGUACUAUAAGAAUAAGGAUCGGCUAACUCCGUGCCAGCAGCCGCGGUAAUACGGAGGAUCCAAGCGUUAUCCGGAAUCAUCGGGUUUAAAGGGUCCGUAGGUGGACAAAUAAGUCAGAGGUGAAAUCCUGCAGCUCAACUGUAGAACUGCCUUUGAUACUGUUUGUCUUGAGUUAUUAUGAAGUGGUUAGAAUGUGUAGUGUAGCGGUGAAAUGCAU